RNAcentral lists this ribosomal RNA (227 nucleotides) under Scyphosphaera apsteinii. RNAcentral's name for it is "partial Bacterial large subunit ribosomal RNA". It matches the Rfam family "Bacterial large subunit ribosomal RNA", at positions 793 to 1018 of the family's 2925-position model. The record is from RNAcentral. Lineage: Eukaryota; Haptophyta; Coccosphaerales; Pontosphaeraceae.
AAAGAUAUGGGAUGAGCUGUGGGGAGGGGUCAAAGUCCAAUCAAACCGGGAGAUAGCUUGUUCUCACCGAAAUAACUUUAGGGUUAGCCUCAAGAGGCAACCGUUGGGGGUAGAGCUACUGGAUGCGUGGUGGGCCCGUCUAGGGUACCCCAUGCAACCAAACUCCGAAUACCAACAGCCAAGUCUUGGGAGAUAGACUGCGAGUGAAAAUAUCCGUAGUCAAGAGG